UACGUAGGUGGCAAGCGUUGUCCGGAUUUACUGGGCGUAAAGAGCGCGCAGGCGGUCGUAUAAGUCGAAUGUGAAAGCCCCCGGCUCAACUGGGGAGGGUCAUUCGAUACUGUUCGACUUGAAGGCAGGAGAGGGAAGUGGAAUUCCGGGUGUAGUGGUGAAAUGCGUAGAUAUCCGGAGGAACACCAGUGGCGAAGGCGACUUUCUGGCCUGUUCUUGACGCUGAGGCGCGAAAGCUAGGGGAGCAAACGGG
This 253-nucleotide ribosomal RNA is filed under the name uncultured bacterium. RNAcentral describes it as "partial 16S ribosomal RNA". It matches the Rfam family "Bacterial small subunit ribosomal RNA", at positions 524 to 776 of the family's 1533-position model. The record is from RNAcentral.